GCCUGGGUGGCUCAGGCGGUUGAGCAUCUGACUCUUGAUUAUGGCUCAGGUCAUGAUCUCAUGGUUUGUGGGUUCGAGCCCCACAUCGGGCU
This 92-nucleotide transfer RNA is filed under the name Felis catus (domestic cat). It matches the Rfam family "tRNA". From Rfam's summary of the family: Transfer RNA (tRNA) molecules are approximately 80 nucleotides in length. Their secondary structure includes four short double-helical elements and three loops (D, anti-codon, and T loops). The record is from Rfam by way of RNAcentral. Lineage: Eukaryota; Metazoa; Chordata; Mammalia; Carnivora; Felidae.